GAUGAACGCUAGCGGCAGGCCUAACACAUGCAAGUCGAGGGGCAUCGCGGUGCAGCAAUGCACUGGCGGCGACCGGCGUACGGGUGCGUAACGCGUAUGCAACCUGCCCCGCACCGGGGGAUAGCCCGCCGAAAGGCGGAUUAAUACCCCAUGGCCCCGGGGGCCCGCAUGGGCAUCCGGGUAAAGCCUUGGCGGUGCGGGAUGGGCAUGCGUGCCAUUAGCUGGCUGGUGGGGUAACGGCCCACCAGGGCAACGAUGGCUAGGGGGUCUGAGAGGAUGGUCCCCCACACUGGUACUGAGACACGGACCAGACUCCUACGGGAGGCAGCAGUGAGGAAUAUUGGUCAAUGGGCGGAAGCCUGAACCAGCCAUGCCGCGUGCGGGAUGAAGGCCCUACGGGUUGUAAACCGCUUUUCCCCGGGAAGAAUAACCCCGAUGAGUCGGGGAUGCCGGUACCGGGGGAAUAAGGAUCGGCUAACUCCGUG
This 485-nucleotide ribosomal RNA is filed under the name uncultured bacterium. Its description in RNAcentral is "bacterial SSU rRNA". It matches the Rfam family "Bacterial small subunit ribosomal RNA", at positions 28 to 507 of the family's 1533-position model. The record is from RNAcentral.